AUGAUGGAAGCCCUACAUAUCAAAGAAAACAGAAGCCAAUUGACAUUAAACACAAGCAUACCUGCAACCAUGAAUAAACAGCCCUGCAUAAGCCCUGCACAUUACAAACUUAUAACAGAAAAGAUUAGAAUAAUUCAAAAUUCCAAAAAUAAUUUAUUAACAUUUUAUACCAAAAUUACAAAACUAACAGCUUCAACCUCCUAA
Molecule: non-coding RNA, 204 nt
Organism: Vicia faba (fava bean)
Lineage: Eukaryota; Viridiplantae; Streptophyta; Magnoliopsida; Fabales; Fabaceae
Source: the annotation of a GenBank genome assembly